AAUCAACGCUGGCGGCGUGCCUAACACAUGCAAGUCGCACGAGAAAGGGACUUCGGUCCUGAGUACAGUGGCGCACGGGUGAGUAACACGUGAAUAAUCUACCUUCGAGUGGGGAAUAACUGAGAGAAAUCUCAGCUAAUACCGCAUAAUACCCACGGGUCAAAGCAGCAAUGCGCUUGAAGAGGAGUUCGCGGCAGAUUAGUUAGUUGGCAGGGGUAAUGGCCUACCAAGACGAUGAUCUGUAUCCGGCCUGAGAGGGCGCACGGGACACACUGGAACUGAAACACGGUCCAGGACUCCUACGGGAGGCAGCAGUGGGGAAUUUUGCGCAAGUGGGGAAACCCUGACGCAGCAACGCCGCGUGGAGGAUGAAAUCCCUUGGGAUGUAAACUCCUUACGAUCGGGAAGAUAAUGACGGUACCGAGAGAAG
RNAcentral lists this ribosomal RNA (430 nucleotides) under uncultured bacterium. RNAcentral describes it as "bacterial SSU rRNA". It matches the Rfam family "Bacterial small subunit ribosomal RNA", at positions 32 to 487 of the family's 1533-position model. The record is from RNAcentral.